RNAcentral lists this ribosomal RNA (225 nucleotides) under uncultured bacterium. RNAcentral's name for it is "partial 16S ribosomal RNA". It matches the Rfam family "Bacterial small subunit ribosomal RNA", at positions 109 to 334 of the family's 1533-position model. The record is from RNAcentral.
AGUAACGCGUGGGUGACCUGCCCCAUACCGGGGGAUAACAGCUGGAAACGGCUGCUAAUACCGCAUAAGCGCACAGAGCUGCAUGGCUCAGUGUGAAAAACUCCGGUGGUAUGGGAUGGGCCCGCGUCUGAUUAGGCAGUUGGUGAGGUAACGGCCCACCAAGGCGACGAUCAGUAGCCGACCUGAGAGGGUGACCGGCCACAUUGGGACUGAGACACGGCCCAG